RNAcentral lists this ribosomal RNA (491 nucleotides) under uncultured bacterium. Its description in RNAcentral is "partial 16S ribosomal RNA". It matches the Rfam family "Bacterial small subunit ribosomal RNA", at positions 28 to 507 of the family's 1533-position model. The record is from RNAcentral.
GAUGAACGCUGGCGGCGUGCCUAAUACAUGCAAGUCGAGCGAACGGACGAGAAGCUUGCUUCUCUGAUGUUAGCGGCGGACGGGUGAGUAACACGUGAGUAACCUGCCCCCUUCUUCUGGAUAACCGCAUGAAAGUGUGGCUAAUACGGGAUAUUCUGGGUCUGUCGCAUGAUGGGUCUGGGAAAGAUAUUGUUUCGGUGGGGGAUGGGCUCGCGGCCUAUCAGCUUGUUGGUGGGGUGAUGGCCUACCAAGGCGGUGACGGGUAGCCGGCCUGAGAGGGUGGACGGUCACACUGGGACUGAGACACGGCCCAGACUCCUACGGGAGGCAGCAGUGGGGAAUAUUGCACAAUGGGCGCAAGCCUGAUGCAGCGACGCCGCGUGAGGGAUGGAGGCCUUCGGGUUGUGAACCUCUUUCGCCAGUGAAGCAGGCCUGCCUCGUUUGUGGGUGGGUUGACGGUAGCUGGAUAAGAAGCGCCGGCUAACUACGUG